UCCCAUUCCCCAGUCUCUCCAUUGUUCACUCAUACCCAACUCCGUCCCCAUCUCCGGCGACAUGUCCGCUUCGUCUACAUCCUCUCUCCCCGUCCCGGCGGACUGGCUGCUACCCCUGAUGGCAUAUCCACUCUGCGGCGACGAGGUAGUGACAGACGUCGCAAGGAGUGGGAAUCAGGUUGGGCAUCGUUUCUACAAAUGCAUCCGUUAUGAUGUAAGUAUUUUUUGAUCCGAUCUUGUCAGGUUUUUCAUAUUGAAUCAAGAUUUCACACACAUCUCACCGGACUGACAUAGAAGAGUUUUCACACACAUCGUUUCGAUGGACGCAUGUUGUCCAAGUGUGGCUACGUCAGACGCAUUUACAUGCCACGAAGAAAUGCUUGAUCAAGGGAAAAAACAAAGGCCUCAACAUCCAGACGACGCUGCUAGUCCCAGUCAGCAUCAGCCAAAAAAAACUGCUCAAAUAAAGUUGUUUCGCUCAAACAUAUUCAGUAACCAUGAUCAUGGAUACAAAACGCAACUCAACAGGAUGCAACCACUGUAAAUCUAUUUUUAGCUUUCGAAAUGCCAAGGCCUCCCAUAUAAAAUUAUGUAUGAUUCAAAUACAGAGACUGCAGGAAUAUAUUUUUUAGGAAUCAAAUAGUGCAGAAACAACAAUAAACAUGGUAACAAUACUAAAGUUUACGUGUUGAUAUCAUCUCAAAAAGCAGUUCAUAAAUUCAGACUAGCUACCAAAUUUUUCAGAAAACCAUAAAUCCUUUUGCGUGCUCUAGGACACAACUCUAGAUCGUUACAGACAUGGACAGUACAUCUCAGACUAGCUAUCAAAUUGUUCUCACAACAUCCCACAAUUUUUUCUGCUUGCCCAAGGAACGCAAGACCAUGAUAUCUCAUAUAGGAACAACAUACAAAUCCUGAUCCGGGACGGACUGCAAAUCAGGCCUCAUGAAAAAGACAAAUACAUAUUCAUCGACCAAAAAUUGCACAGCUCAGCUCUCGGCAAACCCAAGAGGCCUCUUGCAUGUGUUCCGCCAGUGUCCUUCUAUUCCGCAGUUCUUGCAUCUGCCUGGUUUCCGCGGCUUCUUCGGAGCAUCCCCUCGCUCUGGACAUGUGGUCCUCUUGUGCCCCUCGCGGCGGCAAAUGCUGCAGAACCUGGUUCUUUUACUCAGCCCUUCGUACGGUGCCUUCUCCCUGCUGCUUGUCGGCCUGCCAGUUCCUCUACACUUUUCUGGUGCUGCGAGGCACUGAAGUUCAUUCAUGCCGACAGAAUUCGCAGCACUGUUGCAUUGGUCAGCCUCCUGAUCAACCAAAGCAGGAUCCCCGUUGCAAGUUGCACUGGCAUUUCCAUUUUCAAUGAGACGAUCCUCGAAUGCCAAUCCAUCCCGCGCGACCGCCAGAGGCGCUCCACCCUAUAGCAGAGAGUCCAGCCCAGAAUGCAUGUAGUCAUAGCAUGCAGCACUUGCGUCCCCCAUUCACACAACUUCCAUGGCUUUAAAAUAUAAUGUUGCAUGCCUGUACGUGAACGACAAAUUAUGCGAUUUGUCUUUCUGGUAUUGAACCAGGUGAUCCGGUAGUAUAUCCCUCGCAUCUCUUGUCCACCUUUUCAGGAUAUGGUACUUAGGGAUUUCAUCAAGAGGUAGAAUCUCCAUCACCUACAUUUUUUUCAUAUUUAACAUAUGUUAGUGAGACAUGUCCUUUUUUCCUUUGAAAAACUGAAUUAUGUACAUCAAUACACUUAUGCAGCUUACCCUCAAAGCUGUGUGCUCAAAACUGACCACAUUCGCACGUGAAUAUUGAUUUGUCUUCGUUAACUGUCACCUCGUACUCCACUCUACUCCACUUCUCUCUCUUUGCUGCAUUAUUGUGAGUUGUGAUGUAUUUCCUCAUCCUUUCUACAUCAGUCACAUUGUAUGCAGUUCCAUCUAUUAGGAGGCGGCCAAAUUCCUCAAACAUAUUCCUUGUAUAUAUUUUGCUGGCAUGGCGCUCUAUCGCAAGGUUAGUCCGCCGCACAGCGCCUCCCCGACACAAUGAAAGUAUUAAAAUGAACGAGAUCAGUUCUUGAGCAGAAAUCAGUAAAAAACAGAAAUCUAUUUUCUUGAAUGGGAGCAACAUAUUUACAAUCAUUGUCCUCUUCUCCUCGUAGCUUUCAUCGCGCUCACGGUCAAACUGAAGCCCCAUGUAUUGCCAGACAAAAACAUGCAUCGGGCUUGCGGGGGGGCAUGUAUGACUUCAGCAUGUGGUUUGCACUCUCACUCCUCUGCGUACUUGUCAUUUUUGCACAAAACACACCUCUGAAAUAUGGUUUUGCCCAUUUAUGUCUUGUCUCAUAUAUUUGGGUCAUAUAGUUAUGCCCCCUCAAGUUGUACUUAUCAAGCAGCGCGUCCCAGGCUGUUUCAAAUUCCUCCUCAGUUAACAUGUGGUUAACAACUUUGUGAAAUUCAGCUUGGAAAUCACACUUUUUCGUGUAAAGCGGCCCCAGUGUUUCCUUCACCUUCUUAAGAACAUGCCACUUGCACCAACGGUGGACAGUGUUUGGAUAAAUUUUCUUGAUCGCAACCUCCAUUACUCUGCAUUGGUCUGAGCAAACAAAAAACAGUUUCAGUCAGAACCAUAAUUCAAGACUUAUUUCCUUGCAUGUUUUUAUGUCAUAAUUCAUUACUGCGUCCAGUGCAAUUUGAAGGGAUCUACAAUAAAAUAUGUACAAGCAAGGGACAUUUUUCGUGUUCAAAUCACUCACCUGUUAGUAUUGUUUUUGGUGCAGGUCCGCCCAUCAUGCGAAUGAAUUCUGAAAACACCCAUUCGAAGCUCUCUUCCUGCUCGUCGCGCAUCAACACUCCUGCCACGAUGAUACUCUAGUAGUGAUUGUUAACUCCAACAAAUAGACCGAAUGGCAUGUCGUCCAGAUUUGUACUGUAUGUGGUGUCGAAUGUGACCACGUCGCCAAAGAACUUGUACUGCAUCCUGCUGCUCCCAUUAGCCCACAUGAAAUUCUUCACCUUGCUAUCUUUCUCGGCGAGCACCACAAAGGAGAAUCCAGGGUCACUCGACCGAAUGUCGGCAAACACCUGUAGUGCCUUCCGUACAUCAUCUUCAGCCUGCUCACGACUAAUCUUCCCACAAAUGUUCCUGAGUGUCCUUUUAGUGAAAGGCACCUUCUCAACCGAACCAAAGAAGCUCCCAAUUAUGCUGUAUACCUUGCCAAGGUUGACGUUGUUCUCCCUCAACUGCCUUAUUAAAUCUUUGGUAUAGACGUCUAUGUGUUUAUGAGAUGGCCAGUGCACUUUCUCUCCCAUUGUAAGCGACAUCGAAUGAUUGUGGCUCGCUCGGUGCUCUGUUAUGUACCAACUGUUGUCUGAUGCACGUAACAGUCUGAUCAAAGCCGGGCACUCGCAUCUGCACGACCUGCUGU
Molecule: long non-coding RNA, 3409 nt
Filed under: Triticum aestivum (bread wheat)
Lineage: Eukaryota; Viridiplantae; Streptophyta; Magnoliopsida; Poales; Poaceae
Description: long non-coding RNA (TAES_LNC024456)
Source: RNAcentral